GAGCAAACCUCUGCUAAAGUAGACACAGAGAUCAGAAGCAACGAAGUCAAAGCUGCUUCCCACCAAGCUGUGUGGUCCCAGAUCAAUAAAUGUCCACAGGACAAAAGCAGUGCCAACUGUGGGGCUCACCUUCCUGGAUUCCUGUCUUCUUCCUAGAUCUUGGUCCGAUGAAUUAUGUAUCUGAAAUGGCUGGCAACCUCAGC
Molecule: long non-coding RNA, 203 nt
Filed under: Homo sapiens (human)
Lineage: Eukaryota; Metazoa; Chordata; Mammalia; Primates; Hominidae
Description: non-protein coding lnc-SRD5A2-3:2
Source: RNAcentral